GAUAAGAUGGCUGAUAAUAGGCGGUAGAUUGUAAAUCUACUUAUGAGAAAUUCUCUCUUAUCA
Molecule: transfer RNA, 63 nt
Filed under: Xenocatantops humilis
Lineage: Eukaryota; Metazoa; Arthropoda; Insecta; Orthoptera; Acrididae
Also listed under: 1 other name
Description: tRNA-Tyr
Source: RNAcentral